RNAcentral lists this ribosomal RNA (253 nucleotides) under uncultured bacterium. RNAcentral's name for it is "partial 16S ribosomal RNA". It matches the Rfam family "Bacterial small subunit ribosomal RNA", at positions 524 to 776 of the family's 1533-position model. The record is from RNAcentral.
UACGUAGGGUGCGAGCGUUGUCCGGAAUUAUUGGGCGUAAAGGGCUCGUAGGCGGUCUGUCACGUCGGGUGUGAAAAUCCAGGGCUUAACCCUGGACCUGCAUUCGAUACGGGCAGACUAGAGUUCGGUAGGGGAGACUGGAAUUCCUGGUGUAGCGGUGAAAUGCGCAGAUAUCAGGAGGAACACCGGUGGCGAAGGCGGGUCUCUGGGCCGAUACUGACGCUGAGGAGCGAAAGCGUGGGGAGCGAACAGG